CACUCCCGUGUGCAGGGCGGGAACAGCAGCGCAGAAGCGGCACAGCAGCGACCGACCCGCCCUGCCCCGCCUCGUCUCCCUCAGGGCACCCUCAUGGCUUCUCGCUCUCAAGAGGCACUGGUCCCCAGUCUCCAGAUGUGCAAGAUGUGGGAACCUAAACCCACUGGGAUCCUGGGGCUAUAGGUGUUUGAGGUGCAGAUCCCUGGUAUCUCAAAUUCCAGUCUAACCACUGAAGAACUGUGAGAAUUCAUUCUCAGAGAGUCUACAUAAACCAGCUGUAGAAGCGUGGAGAAGACAAGGCUGUGUAUUCAUUGGCACGUUGUACACUGCAGAGAAAGGCCAGGGAGGCAGAUGUAUCAGAAAGCAUCCACAGCAACACUUCACACUACUUUAACUGCGACCUGUGUCAGAAGAAAGCUGCCAAAUAUUUGAAAAUGGUGCUGGAAACAUGACAGCUUAGAACAGGAUGUCUCCCUCACAGGAAAAACCACAGCUUGGUGAGAUACCUCAGGAUGGGGUAAAGUUCUACACGAUAUGACUCAUGUUAUAUUUGGCACUUGGUGCAGUUAAUCUUAUGCUAUAGAACUGAACAAAUGUUCAUGGCCAUAUAAUGACACAAAGUUCAGAAGUCCACUGUAUCACUGAAUCAGUCAUCCUGGACUGUGUAGGUGGAUAUACAGCCUGAAACCACAUGUGAUUAAUGCAAAGGUCAUCUUUAUUUUAGGAUUUUUGUUUUGGGUUUUGUUACUUCUUUUUCACAGUCUGAGACACCGUCAAAAAUAUUGGAUAUCACAAG
RNAcentral lists this long non-coding RNA (796 nucleotides) under Lepidothrix coronata (blue-crowned manakin). RNAcentral describes it as "lncRNA (ENSLCOG00000002294.1)". The record is from RNAcentral. Lineage: Eukaryota; Metazoa; Chordata; Aves; Passeriformes; Pipridae.